AUUGAACGCUGGCGGCAGGCCUAACACAUGCAAGUCGAACGGUAACAGGAAGCAGCUUGCUGCUUCGCUGACGAGUGGCGGACGGGUGAGUAAUGUCUGGGAAACUGCCUGAUGGAGGGGGAUAACUACUGGAAACGGUGGCUAAUACCGCAUAACGUCGCAAGACCAAAGAGGGGGACCUUCGGGCCUCUUGCCAUCGGAUGUGCCCAGAUGGGAUUAGCUAGUAGGUGGGGUAACGGCUCACCUAGGCGACGAUCCCUAGCUGGUCUGAGAGGAUGACCAGCCACACUGGAACUGAGACACGGUCCAGACUCCUACGGGAGGCAGCAGUGGGGAAUAUUGCACAAUGGGCGCAAGCCUGAUGCACCAUGCCGCGUGUAUGAAGAAGGCCUUCGGGUUGUAAAGUACUUUCAGCGGGGAGGAAGGCGAUAAGGUUAAUAACCUUGUCGAUUGACGUUACCCGCAGAAGAAGCACCGCUAC
This 481-nucleotide ribosomal RNA is filed under the name Enterobacter hormaechei. RNAcentral's name for it is "bacterial SSU rRNA". It matches the Rfam family "Bacterial small subunit ribosomal RNA", at positions 30 to 500 of the family's 1533-position model. Lineage: Bacteria; Pseudomonadati; Pseudomonadota; Gammaproteobacteria; Enterobacterales; Enterobacteriaceae. The record is from RNAcentral.